CCAGCUCUCAGUGUCCUUCAGUGUCCUCUGGUCAUGGGGAAGGAAGUGCUGGUCCUGCUCCUGGAGAAAGGAUCCAUCUUCUCUGCCCUGUCCCCAGGUGCCAUCCAAGUGCUGUCCCCUCUGUUGUUCCCCCAGGAUGUGACACAGCUGCACAUCUGGAACCAAAGGUGAGUAGCACAGUGUUCCCAGUGUUUCUUUCUGACCUGCAAGAUAAAAUCCUUAGACAUUUUACUGUUUCACCAUUAUCAUUCUUCUGUUUUAUGAGAAAUCUUUAUUCGAUUUUUUUUUAAAAUAUUCUUUUACGCAUAGAUGGAAAAAAACCUUUUAUUACUUUACUGCUUGAGAUUAGGAUCAGUCUUCAAGAAAUUGGUGCUCACUUUAUGACCUGUGUCUGAUUUAUCUGCCCCGUUUUAGAAGAGCACAGUUCACUUGGACUCCUCAAAGCUCAGGGAUGUGUGGUUGGAACCUAUACAUGGGAUCACAGAAUCAGUGUCCCUUAUACAGCACAUAAAGGAUCUUAUAUUUUAUAUAUAUAUAUAAAUAAUCUCUCUAUAAAGCAUCUCUUGAGGGGAUGCUCAGGUCAAGAAGCUGAACUGACCUGGUACAACCAAUCCAACCAAAGCUGAGUGAUCCCACCCAUCCCAACCCCUCUGCCUUCUCCCCCACCCAGCUGGAGGUGAUCCAUGCACUUCCCUUUCCAGUGGAGCUGGAUAUGGACACACAAACCCAUUAAAAAUAUCCUUAUUUCUAACAGUGUGUGAUGCAUCUGUGCCCCCAGGCCUUUGUGAGGCAACGAGCAAGGUCACAAUUGACGUGCUGGAACUUCCAAUGUUGGAGCAAGGAAGGAGCAGAUCCUGCCCCAGGAGCAGCCAGCCAUGGCCACGCUGCAGGAGCUGCAAGUGCUCUGCAUUUCUUCUCACAGCAAAUACCUCAGAUGCUUCAAAUUCCCAGGCCUCCAGGAAACUUCUCUGGGCCAAUUCACUUCCUGCUCUCAGAGCUGGCAGUUCACCACUUGUCUUACCUGCAGUUGCUCUCUUGGGGUGCCACAAGGGCCCCAAAUCCCUGCAUCCUCAUUGCCAUAACACUCGGAGCUGGGGUUUGGAGCUAGAUGAGCUUGAAGGUCCCUUCCACCCCGAACCAUUCCGGG
RNAcentral lists this long non-coding RNA (1147 nucleotides) under Manacus vitellinus (golden-collared manakin). Its description in RNAcentral is "lncRNA (ENSMVIG00005008854.1)". The record is from RNAcentral. Lineage: Eukaryota; Metazoa; Chordata; Aves; Passeriformes; Pipridae.